CCGGCACGGGUGAGUAACGCGUAUCCAACCUGCCGUCUACUCUUGGACAGCCUUCUGAAAGGAAGAUUAAUACAAGAUGGCAUCAUGAGUCCGCAUGUUCACAUGAUUAAAGGUAUUCCGGUAGACGGUGGGGAUGCGUUCCAUUAGAUAGUAGGCGGGGUAACGGCCCACCUAGUCUUCGAUGGAUAGGGGUUCUGAGAGGAAGGUCCCCCACAUUGGAACUGAGACACGGUCCAA
This 237-nucleotide ribosomal RNA is filed under the name uncultured bacterium. RNAcentral describes it as "partial 16S ribosomal RNA". It matches the Rfam family "Bacterial small subunit ribosomal RNA", at positions 100 to 334 of the family's 1533-position model. The record is from RNAcentral.